RNAcentral lists this long non-coding RNA (796 nucleotides) under Homo sapiens (human). Its description in RNAcentral is "HSALNT0093438". The record is from RNAcentral. Lineage: Eukaryota; Metazoa; Chordata; Mammalia; Primates; Hominidae.
UUUUAUAUUCCUCGCUUCAGUAUUUUGACUGUAAAUUUGAGAUUGACACUUCUUUUCUUGAGUAUAGGCAUGACUUGUAGAGAGGGAAAGUGAAACCAGCCAUCAGGGUACAAGUCACUUUAUGAUAAACAAAACGGGUACAGAAAAAAACCAACCUACCCACCCCUGCCUCCCAGAUUUUUAACUAAUGAACUGUGUCUAAGACACCAAUAUUGGUGCAAAGAAAUGGUUUGUGAAUUCUGAUGGGAAAUGAGUUAGGCCAGUAAGUAACUUUGUUUGAAGAUGCACAACAUAAACAACUUCAGUAAUGCUUAGUUGCUUAGAUACAGUACGCCAGAAGAAUCAAUAUAUUUGUGUACAUAAUUAGUUUGGCUUGGUAAGUAUUCAGUUUUUCUGAUGAAUUUUCGUUUGGCUGUUUUCAUAAUAUGAGCUAGCAGAUUGAGUAUUUUGUCAACCUAGGAAAAAAUAGACAAAAGAUGUCUCUUUAACCUUCAGUAAAUGUUUGAUAUUUAACCUCUGUGCUCUGUAUUUAGUAAUAGGUUAUUACUUUGUGCCUCAAACAGUUUUAAUUUGUAUAUUAUGUACAUGUUUGUAUAUUUUUUACUGGAGUUGGGAAACGCUAACUCGAUUAAAGCUUUGGUUUCUCAAUUUGUUGAUAACAAUGUAUAAAACCCUCUAUUGUGCAUUCAUACUGCUUUAAAAAAGACAAAUAUUUCAACCUAACAUAUAGCUAGACGUGGCUCAUUAAAGCACAUCUUACUCUACAUUUUCUUUUUGAAUUUUUUGGCAGAAAAAU